This 253-nucleotide ribosomal RNA is filed under the name uncultured bacterium. RNAcentral describes it as "partial 16S ribosomal RNA". It matches the Rfam family "Bacterial small subunit ribosomal RNA", at positions 524 to 776 of the family's 1533-position model. The record is from RNAcentral.
UACGUAGGUGGCAAGCGUUGUCCGGAUUUACUGGGCGUAAAGCGCGUGUAGGCGGCCCGUUUAGUCUGUCGUGAAAUCUCCCGGCUUAACCGGGAUGGGUCGACGGGUACUGGCGAGCUUGAGGGGAGCAGAGGAAGGUGGAAUUCCCGGUGUAGUGGUGAAAUGCGUAGAUAUCGGGAGGAACACCAGUGGCGAAGGCGGCCUUCUGGGCUCUACCUGACGCUGAGACGCGAAAGCGUGGGGAGCGAACCGG